AGAGUUUGAUCAUGGCUCAGAUUGAACGCUGGCGGCAGGCCUAACACAUGCAAGUCGAACGGUAACAGGAAGCAGCUUGCUGCUUCGCUGACGAGUGGCGGACGGGUGAGUAAUGUCUGGGAAACUGCCUGAUGGAGGGGGAUAACUACUGGAAACGGUAGCUAAUACCGCAUAAUGUCGCAAGACCAAAGAGGGGGACCUUCGGGCCUCUUGCCAUCGGAUGUGCCCAGAUGGGAUUAGCUUGUUGGUGGGGUAACGGCUCACCAAGGCGACGAUCCCUAGCUGGUCUGAGAGGAUGACCAGCCACACUGGAACUGAGACACGGUCCAGACUCCUACGGGAGGCAGCAGUGGGGAAUAUUGCACAAUGGGCGCAAGCCUGAUGCAGCCAUGCCGCGUGUAUGAAGAAGGCCUUCGGGUUGUAAAGUACUUUCAGCGGGGAGGAAGGGAGUAAAGUUAAUACCUUUGCUCAUUGACGUUACCCGCAGAAGAAGCACCGGCUAACUCCGUGCCAGCAGCCGCGGUAAUACGGAGGGUGCAAGCGUUAAUCGGAAUUACUGGGCGUAAAGCGCACGCAGGCGGUUUGUUAAGUCAGAUGUGAAAUCCCCGGGCUCAACCUGGGAACUGCAUCUGAUACUGGCAAGCUUGAGUCUCGUAGAGGGGGUAGAAUUCCAGGUGUAGCGGUGAAAUGCGUAGAGAUCUGGAGGAAUACCGGUGGCGAAGGCGGCCCCCUGGACGAAGACUGACGCUCAGGUGCGAAAGCGUGGGGAGCAAACAGGAUUAGAUACCCUGGUAGUCCACGCCGUAAACGAUGUCGACUUGGAGGUUGUGCCCUUGAGGCGUGGCUUCCGGAGCUAACGCGUUAAGUCGACCGCCUGGGGAGUACGGCCGCAAGGUUAAAACUCAAAUGAAUUGACGGGGCCCGCACAAGCGGUGGAGCAUGUGGUUUAAUUCGAUGCAACGCGAAGAACCUUACCUGGUCUUGACAUCCACGGAAGUUUUCAGAGAUGAGAAUGUGCCUUCGGGAACCGUGAGACAGGUGCUGCAUGGCUGUCGUCAGCUCGUGUUGUGAAAUGUUGGGUUAAGUCCCGCAACGAGCGCAACCCUUAUCCUUUGUUGCCAGCGGUCCGGCCGGGAACUCAAAGGAGACUGCCAGUGAUAAACUGGAGGAAGGUGGGGACGACGUCAAGUCAUCAUGGCCCUUACGACCAGGGCUACACACGUGCUACAAUGGCGCAUACAAAGAGAAGCGACCUCGCGAGAGCAAGCGGACCUCAUAAAGUGCGUCGUAGUCCGGAUUGGAGUCUGCAACUCGACUCCAUGAAGUCGGAAUCGCUAGUAAUCGUGGAUCAGAAUGCCACGGUGAAUACGUUCCCGGGCCUUGUACACACCGCCCGUCACACCAUGGGAGUGGGUUGCAAAAGAAGUAGGUAGCUUAACCUUCGGGAGGGCGCUUACCACUUUGUGAUUCAUGACUGGGGUGAAGUCGUAACAAGGUAACCGUAGGGGAACCUGCGGUUG
RNAcentral lists this ribosomal RNA (1520 nucleotides) under Shigella boydii. Its description in RNAcentral is "bacterial SSU rRNA". It matches the Rfam family "Bacterial small subunit ribosomal RNA". The record is from RNAcentral. Lineage: Bacteria; Pseudomonadati; Pseudomonadota; Gammaproteobacteria; Enterobacterales; Enterobacteriaceae.